AUUCAAUGAAAAAUUGGGUAGAAAUUUUGACAGAGCAUGUUGUGAUACAUUUGAUUUUAGGGAGCAAAAUUUAAAAAAAAAAAUUGCACAGUACAAAGUUUGCUGUAAGCUAUGCCACCCGGAUCAUGAACAAGCCACUAUUGGAGACAAUGAGUAGAAAUUCUGCAGCUCCAGAACCCUAGGAGGGAACUCAGACGAGAAAAUCGACACACGCGUUUUGCUUAUUUCCAAAUGCAAGGUACCUUAAUAGCAAUUUUAGAAGCUUUUGUCUUCAAUUUCUCACCUUCUGAAAGAUGGCAACAGCUAGAAGUCUCUGAUUUGGACUUUGUUGAAGUGAUUUUUUUACCUCUUUUUGUGGUGGAGAUGGCAAAAAUAAAAAAUCUCAAACACAUCAUCAAUCAAGAUGAUUUGUGGGAAGUCUGCUUCUACUGCCAAGAAUUUCACCUCCCUUUUCAUUCUCCAGUGACCAUAUAGAGGGCUAGCGUUAUUUCAGCUCUGCGCUACCCUUUUAGCUAAAGAGUGAAGAGAAUUUGUUUGGUAAGAUUGGUAAAGACGUGGAUCAUCUUGCAAAAUUAAUGAAUUUUUUUAUUAUUGUUAGAAGAC
This 603-nucleotide unclassified non-coding RNA is filed under the name Hevea brasiliensis (rubber tree). The record is from RNAcentral. Lineage: Eukaryota; Viridiplantae; Streptophyta; Magnoliopsida; Malpighiales; Euphorbiaceae.